Molecule: ribosomal RNA, 497 nt
Filed under: uncultured bacterium
Lineage: Bacteria
Description: partial 16S ribosomal RNA
Rfam family: Bacterial small subunit ribosomal RNA
Source: RNAcentral
GAUGAACGCUGGCGGCGUGCCUAAUACAUGCAAGUCGAGCGAACGGACGAGAAGCUUGCUCCUCUGAUGUUAGCGGCGGACGGGUGAGUAACACGUGGAUAACCUACCUAUAAGACUGGGAUAACUUCGGGAAACCGGAGCUAAUACCGGAUAAUAUUUUGAACCGCAUGGUUCAAUAGUGAAAGACGGUUUUGCUGUCACUUAUAGAUGGAUCCGCGCUGCAUUAGCUAGUUGGUAAGGUAACGGCUUACCAAGGCAACGAUGCGUAGCCGACCUGAGAGGGUGAUCGGCCACACUGGAACUGGGACACGGUCCAGACUCCUACGGGAGGCAGCAGUAGGGAAUCUUCCGCAAAGGGCGAAAGCCUGACGGAGCAACGCCGCGUGAGUGAUGAAGGUCUUCGGAUCGUAAAACUCUGUUAUUAGGGAAGAACAUAUGUGUAAGUAACUAUGCACAUCUUGACGGUACCUAAUCAGAAAGCCACGGCUAACUACGUG